GUCCUUUAGAGAAGAAUUUAAGGUUUAACCUGCCCAUUGAGGAUUUAAAAGGCCGCAGUAUUUUGACUGUGCAAAGGUAGCAUAAUCAUUAGUUUUUUAAUUGAAAGCUAGAAUGAAUGGUUGGACGAGAUAUAAUCUGUCUUUAAAUUAUAAUUAGAAUUUAAUUUUUAAGUUAAAAAGCUUAAAUGAUUUUAAAAGACGAGAAGACCCUAUAGAUCUUUAUAGAUUUUUAUAUAAAAUUAUUUAGGAUGUUUAUUUUUUUUUUUUUAAAAAAUUAAUUAAAUGGGGGAAAUAAAAGGAUGGAAAAAAUUUUUUUUUUUAUGAACAUUUAUUAAUGAUUUAAUUGAUCCAAAAUUUUUGAUUGUAAGAUUAAGUUACCUUAGGGAUAACAGCGUAAUUUUUUUUGAGAGUUCUUAUCGAUAAAAAAGUUUGCGACCUCGAUGUUGGAUUAAAAUUUAAUUUAGGUGUAGAAGUUUAAAUUUUUAGUCUGUUCGACUAUUAAAAUUUUACA
This 511-nucleotide ribosomal RNA is filed under the name Peschetius quadricostatus. Its description in RNAcentral is "partial 16S ribosomal RNA". The stretch from base 385 to 511 matches the Rfam family "Bacterial large subunit ribosomal RNA", at positions 2473 to 2600 of the family's 2925-position model. Lineage: Eukaryota; Metazoa; Arthropoda; Insecta; Coleoptera; Dytiscidae. The record is from RNAcentral.